CGCCUUUUGAAAAUUAUAAAAGGUAACGCCUGCCCAGUGACAUCUGUUUAACGGCCGCGGUAUUCUGACCGUGCGAAGGUAGCGUAAUCACUUGUCUUUUAAAUAAAGACUAGUAUGAAUGGCAUCACGAAGACUUAACUGUCUCCUUAGUCCUAUCAGUGAAACUGAUCUUCCCGUGCAAAAGCGGGAAUAAAACCAUAAGACGAGAAGACCCUAUGGAGCUUAAAACUAUAACCUAGCUAUGCUAUCUAUUAAAAUUAAUUAAUACUAUUUAUGAAUAGACUUAACCAAAGUUUUCAGUUGGGGUGACUGUGGAGAAAAACUAAUCCUCCAUGUAGAAUUAAGCUUUGAACUACCAUUCUUAGCAUUAGUAAAUCUAACUUUACUUGAUCCAAUAAUUUUGAUCAACGGACCAAGUUACCCUAGGGAUAACAGCGCAAUCCAUUUCAAGAGUUCAUAUCGACAAAUGGGUUUACGACCUCGAUGUUGGAUUAGGACACCCUAGUGGUGCAGCCGCUACUAACGGUUCGUUUGUUCAACGAUUCAAGUCCU
RNAcentral lists this ribosomal RNA (552 nucleotides) under Leptobrachium mouhoti. RNAcentral describes it as "partial large subunit ribosomal RNA". It matches the Rfam family "Bacterial large subunit ribosomal RNA", at positions 1819 to 2597 of the family's 2925-position model. Lineage: Eukaryota; Metazoa; Chordata; Amphibia; Anura; Megophryidae. The record is from RNAcentral.